Molecule: ribosomal RNA, 517 nt
Filed under: uncultured bacterium
Lineage: Bacteria
Description: bacterial SSU rRNA
Rfam family: Bacterial small subunit ribosomal RNA
Source: RNAcentral
AGAGUUUGAUCAUGGCUCAGAAUCAACGCUGGCGGCGUGCCUAACACAUGCAAGUUGAGCGCUUGAGGGGGCAACCCCCAAGAGAGCAGCGAACGGGUGAGUAACGCGUGGGUGAUCUUCCUUCGAGUGGGGAACAACAUCGGGAAACUGGUGCUAAUUCCGCAUAAUAUCCUCGGGCCACGAGCCUGGGGAUCAAAGCCGGGGACCGCAAGGCCUGGCGCUUGAAGAUGAGCCCGCGUCCGAUUAGCUAGUUGGCGGGGUAAUGGCCCACCAAGGCUCCGAUCGGUAGCCGGCCUGAGAGGGCGGACGGCCACACUGGAACUGAGACACGGUCCAGACUCCUACGGGAGGCAGCAGUGGGGAAUUUUUCGCAAUGGGCGCAAGCCUGACGAAGCAACGCCGCGUGGAGGAUGAAGGUCUUCGGAUUGUAAACUCCUGUCGACCGGGACGAAUGCACUCGACCUAAUACGUCGGAAUGUUGACGGUACCGGUGGAGGAAGCCACGGCUAACUCUGUG